This 2140-nucleotide ribosomal RNA is filed under the name Plasmodium falciparum 383.1. RNAcentral describes it as "SSU rRNA". It matches the Rfam family "Eukaryotic small subunit ribosomal RNA". Lineage: Eukaryota; Apicomplexa; Aconoidasida; Haemosporida; Plasmodiidae. The record is from RNAcentral.
CCUGGUUGAUCUUGCCAGUAGUCAUAUGCUUGUCUCCACAGAUUAAGCCAUGCAAGUGAAAGUACAUAUGUAAAUAAUAUAUUGAAACUGCGAACGGCUCAUUAAAACAGUUAUAAUCUACUUGAUGUUUUUAAUAUAAGGAUAACUACGGAAAAUCUGUAGCUAAUACUUGUGAAAAUACCUUUUGAUAUAUACAUAUGUAUGUAUCAUUAAGGUAUGUAUUUGUUAGAUAUAAGAAUAAAAUAAAUAUAAUUGAAUUAUAACAAAGAAGAAACACAUAAAAUAUGUGUAUUAUCAAUCGAGUAUCUGACCUAUCAGCUUUUGAUGUUAGGGUAUUGACCUAACAUGGCUAUGACGGGUAACGGGGAAUUAGAGUUCGAUUCCGGAGAGGGAGCCUGAGAAAUAGCUACCACAUCUAAGGAAGGCAGCAGGCGCGUAAAUUACCCAAUUCUAAAAAAGAGAGGUAGUGACAAGAAAUAACAAUACAAUAUCGAAAAAUGAUUUUGUAAUUGGAAUGAUAGGAAUUUACAAGGUUCCUAGAGAAACAAUUGGAGGGCAAGUCUGGUGCCAGCAGCCGCGGUAAUUCCAGCUCCAAUAGCAUAUAUUAAAAUUGUUGCAGUUAAAACGUUCGUAGUUGAAUAUUAAAGAAUCCGAUGUUUCAUUUAAACUGGUUUGGGAAAACCAAAUAUAUUAUAUAUUUUGCUUUGUUCAAAAUAAGGUUUUCUAAUAAAUUAUGUUUUUAUCAGAUAUGACAGAAUCUUUUUUAAAAUCUCUUCAAUAUGCUUUUAUUGCUUUUGAGAGGUUUUGUUACUUUGAGUAAAAUUAAGUGUUCAUAACAGACGGGUAGUCAUGAUUGAGUUCAUUGUGUUUGAAUACUACAGCAUGGAAUAACAAAUAUGAAUAAGCUAAUUAUUUUUUUUUUUCAUUAUUUUUUUUGAUAUUCUUAUUAGCUUAGUUACGAUUAAUAGGAGUAGCUUUGGGGGCAUUCGUAUUCAGAUGUCAGAGGUGAAAUUCUAAGAUUUUCUGGAGACGGACUACUGCGAAAGCAUUUGCCUAAUCUAUUUCCAUUAAUCAAGAACGAAAGUUAAGGGAGUGAAGACGAUCAGAUACCGUCGUAAUCUUAACCAUAAACUAUACCGACUAGGUGUUGGAUGAAUAUAAAAAAUAUAUAAAUAUGUAGCAUUUCUUAGGGAAUGUUGAUUUUAUAUUAGAAUUGCUUCCUUCAGUACCUUAUGAGAAAUCAAAGUCUUUGGGUUCUGGGGCGAGUAUUCGCGCAAGCGAGAAAGUUAAAAGAAUUGACGGAAGGGCACCACCAGGCGUGGAGCUUGCGGCUUAAUUUGACUCAACACGGGAAAACUCACUAGUUUAAGACAAGAGUAGGAUUGACAGAUUAAUAGCUCUUUCUUGAUUUCUUGGAUGGUGAUGCAUGGCCGUUUUUAGUUCGUGAAUAUGAUUUGUCUGGUUAAUUCCGAUAACGAACGAGAUCUUAACCUGCUAAUUAGCGGUAAGUACACUAUAUUUUUAUUUGAAAUUGAAUAUAGGUAAUUAUACAUGUUUAUUCAGUGUUCAAAUUAGGAUAUUUUUAUAUUAAAAUAUUCUUUUCCCUGUUCUACUAUAAUAAUUUGUUUUUUUUACUCUAUUUCUCUCUUCUUUUAAGAAUGUACUUGUUUGAUUAAAUAAAGCUUCUUAGAGGAACAGUGUGUAUCUAACACAAGGAAGUUUAAGGCAACAACAGGUCUGUGAUGUCCUUAGAUAAACUAGGCUGCACGCGUGCUACAAUGAUAUAUAUAACAAGUUGUUAAAAAUGUACUUAUAAAUAAGUGUGUACAGUUUUUCCUGUACUGAAAAGUAUAGGUAAUCUUUAUCAGUAUAUAUCGUAAUUGGGAUAGAUUAUUGCAAUUAUUAAUCUUGAACGAGGAAUGCCUAGUAAGCAUGAUUCAUUAGAUUGUGCUGACUACGUCCCUGCCCUUUGUACACACCGCCCGUCGCUCCUACCGAUUGAAAGAUAUGAUGAAUUGUUUGGAUAUGAAUUAAAAUAAUGAAAUUUUAUAUUUCUGAUUUUUUCUAGAAGAACUGUAAAUCCUAUCUUUUAAAGGAAGGAGAAGUCGUAACAAGGUUUCCGUAGGUGAACCUGCGGAAG